This 407-nucleotide ribosomal RNA is filed under the name uncultured Intrasporangiaceae bacterium. Its description in RNAcentral is "bacterial SSU rRNA". It matches the Rfam family "Bacterial small subunit ribosomal RNA", at positions 355 to 774 of the family's 1533-position model. Lineage: Bacteria; Bacillati; Actinomycetota; Actinomycetes; Micrococcales; Intrasporangiaceae. The record is from RNAcentral. RNAcentral also lists the same sequence under 1 other name.
UGGGGAAUAUUGCACAAUGGGCGAAAGCCUGAUGCAGCGACGCCGCGUGAGGGAUGACGGCCUUCGGGUUGUAAACCUCUUUCAGCAGGGAAGAAGCGAAAGUGACGGUACCUGCAGAAGAAGCACCGGCUAACUACGUGCCAGCAGCCGCGGUAAUACGUAGGGUGCGAGCGUUGUCCGGAAUUAUUGGGCGUAAAGAGCUUGUAGGCGGUUUGUCGCGUCUGCCGUGAAAAUCCGGGGCUCAACCCCGGACUUGCGGUGGGUACGGGCAGACUAGAGUGUGGUAGGGGAGACUGGAAUUCCUGGUGUAGCGGUGAAAUGCGCAGAUAUCAGGAGGAACACCGAUGGCGAAGGCAGGUCUCUGGGCCACUACUGACGCUGAGAAGCGAAAGCAUGGGGAGCGAACA